ACACACACACACACACACAAAGAGAGAGAGACUAACAAAGGUACUUAGUCACUGUUACAUACACACUGAUCAUGUCACAGUGAGUCAGACUGACCCUCGACUGAAGUGUUGCACCAGCUGCAGUUCCACUCAACGCCCCCAGGGGGAAACAGCAGCUCACAGCUUCACCACUGUAACGUGAGGCUAACGUCCGUCCCCCUGUCUGUGGACCACUCGACCUCCGGAGGUCUCCUGCAGCACAGACUCAUGAUGGAAACUUCGUCUUCUGUCUGUUCAGCCACUUUUCAUCUGUCAACACAGCAGAGAGAGGAAACUGGUGAAGACACAACAACGACUCGUUGUUCGAUUCCUCCAGAGACGUGAUCUCAGGAAAACCACUGAGAAACGUCACUUCUCUUCCUGCUGCUGCGACAAAACUUCACAACAAGUCAAAUGUUUCAAAAAGACGACACAGCGAACAAAUGUCCCGAACGUUUGGUCCCGUCCAGCUGCUGGUUUGACUUGGAACCAGAACAAACUCGAUGAGCGUCUGCCAUCGGGUUUGAUACAACAACAUCUCAUGAGAUAAAAACAACAGAAAUCAAUCAAUUAGGCCUCAAAUCAAAAUCUCCACGACUGCUCAACCAAUCGGAGAAAACUCCAUAAUAUGAAUUAGAUUGUGUGAUGCAUCCAAUGUGUGAUAUCCAGAUGUUAUAGAUCUGAACCAUAGAGCUUCACUGUUCAUUCAUUAGAACAAAGUGUAGUUUUAUUUAACUCCAAACAACUUACACUACCCCCUUCUGUAAAUACUCAUUAAAAACACCAAAAGUAUGUUUUUCGUUCAGAAAGUCCGAGGAGACAGAAUAUCACUUUGAUAUUUCAGCAUUUUGUUUUCAUUUCACAACAAUCAAUAAAAUAAAACACCGACCUGUUUAAUUUUCAUCUUGUAUUUAAAUGUAUCAUCAAAAUGAAAAAGAGAAGAUCAGAUGGAAGGAAGA
Hippoglossus stenolepis (Pacific halibut) is the source of this 977-nucleotide long non-coding RNA. RefSeq lists it as uncharacterized. NCBI's taxonomy places the organism in Eukaryota, Metazoa, Chordata, Actinopteri, Pleuronectiformes, Pleuronectidae. The record is from RefSeq and is a predicted model, not a curated record. The transcript has 5 exons.